AUUGAACGCUGGCGGCAGGCCUAACACAUGCCAGUCGAACGGUAACAGGAAGCAGCUUGCUGCUUCGCUGACGAGUGGCGGACGGGUGAGUCAUGUCUGGGAAACUGCCUGAUGGAGGGGGAUAACUACUGGAAACGGUAGCUAAUACCGCAUAACGUCGCAAGACCAAAGAGGGGGACCUUAGGGCCUCUUGCCAUCGGAUGUGCCCAGAUGGGAUUAGCUAGUAGGUGGGGUAACGGCUCACCUAGGCGACGAUCCCUAGCUGGUCUGAGAGGAUGACCAGCCACACUGGAACUGAGACACGGUCCAGACUCCUACGGGAGGCAGCAGUGGGGAAUAUUGCACAAUGGGCGCAAGCCUGAUGCAGCCAUGCCGCGUGUAUGAAGAAGGCCUUCGGGUUGUAAAGUACUUUCAGCGGGGAGGAAGGGAGUAAAGUUAAUACCUCUGCUCAUUGACGUUACCCGCAGAAGAAGCACCGGCUAACUCCGUG
This 490-nucleotide ribosomal RNA is filed under the name uncultured bacterium. RNAcentral's name for it is "partial 16S ribosomal RNA". It matches the Rfam family "Bacterial small subunit ribosomal RNA", at positions 30 to 507 of the family's 1533-position model. The record is from RNAcentral.